GACGAACGCUGGCGGCGUGCCUAAUACAUGCAAGUAGAACGCUGAAGAGAGGAGCUUGCUCUUCUUGGAUGAGUUGCGAACGGGUGAGUAACGCGUAGGUAACCUGCCUUGUAGCGGGGGAUAACUAUUGGAAACGAUAGCUAAUACCGCAUAACAAUGGAUGACACAUGUCAUUUAUUUGAAAGGGGCAAUUGCUCCACUACAAGAUGGACCUGCGUUGUAUUAGCUAGUAGGUGAGGUAAUGGCUCACCUAGGCGACGAUACAUAGCCGACCUGAGAGGGUGGUCGGCCACACUUGGACUGGGACACGGCCCAGACUCCUACGGGAGGCAGCAGUAGGGAAUCUUCGGCAAUGGGGGCAAACCUGACCGAGCAACGCCGCGGGAGUGAAGAAGGUUCUCGGGUCGUAAAGUUCUGUUGUAAGUCAAGAAAGGGUGGGAGAGUGGAAAGUUCACACUGUGACGGUAGCUUACCAGAAAGGGACGGCUAACUACGUG
RNAcentral lists this ribosomal RNA (497 nucleotides) under uncultured bacterium. RNAcentral describes it as "partial 16S ribosomal RNA". It matches the Rfam family "Bacterial small subunit ribosomal RNA", at positions 28 to 507 of the family's 1533-position model. The record is from RNAcentral.